Molecule: long non-coding RNA, 958 nt
Filed under: Callithrix jacchus (white-tufted-ear marmoset)
Lineage: Eukaryota; Metazoa; Chordata; Mammalia; Primates; Cebidae
Description: lncRNA (ENSCJAG00000053531.2)
Source: RNAcentral
UCCUUCCUGCUGGACCAGUGUGUGACCCCAUGUCUUCAGGGAAAAUCUGACACUGGCUCUCCUUUUUCCAGGAUUUUUUUCCUUCUGGACCGGCUUUCCCCACCAUGUGCUGUGGGCCAUCCCUGCAACUUGGAGCUAGGGCAGAAGUCUGGCCCCCUCUAUGUAGUCAAGAUGGAUGGGCGUGGCUUCCUGGGCCUGACCAGACCAGGUGGUAAGCUACUACACUCCCUCAGCCUUCCCCUCGGGGAUCCCAGGCAUCCAGACCAGGAUCCAGGUGGGCAACACCACUCACCUGUUGUCCCUCCUAUCCCUCUUCUACCCCUCCCAGGCCCCAGAAAAAAACCAUCUGAAGAGUGGCGGCUCUCCCUCAUUCUCUGAAUCUUACCUAGGAAAGUCUAGGGAAGGACAUCUCGCCUCUUGUUGGUCAUUGAACCUCAACUCCACAUACCUUGGGGAUCUGCUGCCCCCAGAGCCAGGCAUCUGAAACCCUACAGUCUGCCUCCAAGACAAUGAUACACUGGCACGCCUGGUGACUCAUGAGCAUUACCCAGAGCAUGACCUGUGAGUGUCCAGAGUCCACAGCCCCACCAUCAUGGAGUCCCUAGAUAGCAAAUUCCCCCUCAUCAGCCACCACUUCCAAAGGCAACGUAUUCCCUCCUUUCUCUCUCGCCAGGGGCCACUUCUAUAACACACUGGAGCACUUUGACUGGGGGCGCUUCCGGGCCCUGGCUGAGGAGUCCCAGCUCUAUAAGCAAAGCCUCAGUCUCUUCCUGCAGCAGUUCCAGCAGCCAGGUGUUUAUGUCUUUCGUCUGAGCAGCAACCGACAUCAGAAGAUGGUUUGUCUAUGAUAAUUUGCCUCAUUUAAGACAUUAUUCCAUCAUUUCCCCUCUCUUUAAAAAUUACUGCCUCAUAACCACCUCAGACAGAUCUACAAGGAAGGAGAUGCCCUGAUAUCCCU